RNAcentral lists this ribosomal RNA (497 nucleotides) under uncultured bacterium. Its description in RNAcentral is "partial 16S ribosomal RNA". It matches the Rfam family "Bacterial small subunit ribosomal RNA", at positions 28 to 507 of the family's 1533-position model. The record is from RNAcentral.
GAUGAACGCUGGCGGCGUGCCUAAUACAUGCAAGUCGAGCGAACAGAUGAGGAGCUUGCUCCUCUGACGUUAGCGGCGGACGGGUGAGUAACACGUGGAUAACCUACCUAUAAGACUGGGAUAACUACGGGAAACCGGAGCUAAUACCGGAUAAUAUAUUGAACCGCAUGGUUCAAUAGUGAAAGACGGUUUUGCUGUCACUUAUAGAUGGAUCCGCGCCGCAUUAGCUAGUUGGUAAGGUAACGGCUUACCAAGGCAACGAUGCGUAGCCGACCUGAGAGGGUGAUCGGCCACACUGGAACUGAGACACGGUCCAGACUCCUACGGGAGGCAGCAGUAGGGAAUCUUCCGCAAUGGGCGAAAGCCUGACGGAGCAACGCCGCGUGAGUGAUGAAGGUCUUCGGAUCGUAAAACUCUGUUAUUAGGGAAGAACAAAUGUGUAAGUAACUAUGCACGUCUUGACGGUACUUAAUCAGAAAGCCACGGCUAACUACGUG